GAUGAACGCUAGCGGCAGGCCUAACACAUGCAAGUCGAGGGGCAGCACAUAAAGUGGUUUACCACUUUUGGUGGCGACCGGCGGACGGGUGCGUAACGCGUAUGCAACCUGCCUCCAACAGGGGGAUAACGGAGAGAAAUUUCCACUAAUACCCCAUAAUAUCAGAAUCGGCAUCGGUUUUGGGUGAAAACUCCGGUGGUUGGAGAUGGGCAUGCGUUGUAUUAGAUAGUUGGUGAGGUAACGGCUCACCAAGUCAACGAUACAUAGGGGGACUGAGAGGUUAGCCCCCCACACUGGUACUGAGACACGGACCAGACUCCUACGGGAGGCAGCAGUGAGGAAUAUUGGUCAAUGGGGGCAACCCUGAACCAGCCAUGCCGCGUGCAGGAAGACGGCUCUAUGAGUUGUAAACUGCUUUUACAAGGGGAUAAAUCGGUGUACGUGUACACCGUUGAAGGUACCUUGGGAAUAAGGAUCGGCUAUCUCCGUGCCAGCAGCCGCGGUAA
RNAcentral lists this ribosomal RNA (506 nucleotides) under uncultured bacterium. Its description in RNAcentral is "partial 16S ribosomal RNA". It matches the Rfam family "Bacterial small subunit ribosomal RNA", at positions 28 to 523 of the family's 1533-position model. The record is from RNAcentral.